RNAcentral lists this long non-coding RNA (215 nucleotides) under Capsicum annuum. RNAcentral describes it as "long non-coding RNA (CANN_LNC012573)". Lineage: Eukaryota; Viridiplantae; Streptophyta; Magnoliopsida; Solanales; Solanaceae. The record is from RNAcentral.
GGCACAAGCUACACAAAGAACAAACUAAAUUCCCAACUCAAACAAAUCAUAUAAUUAAAUCCAACAAAGAAGCACAAAUAAGAGCAUAUUCAAUCUAUAAAUUACAGUAUAUAAACAAAUAGUUUUUGGCAGAAACCUACAACCUAAACAAAAAUAAAACAACUUAAGUAUUCCCUUUUCUAUAUAACUAUCCACAUAUGCCCAAGAAAUGUAUC